RNAcentral lists this long non-coding RNA (717 nucleotides) under Felis catus (domestic cat). RNAcentral describes it as "lncRNA (ENSFCAG00000051009.1)". The record is from RNAcentral. Lineage: Eukaryota; Metazoa; Chordata; Mammalia; Carnivora; Felidae.
UCUAAAGAUGCCUUGGGCUCGGGAGAAACAGCAGUGGAAAGAAAUCACAAAACAGUAGGAGAGAAUAAGGGAAACAAUAACAGAAGGACGAGAGAGCUAAAGUGACCCUGGAGAGACUCGCACACAUCAAGGGGGUACGUGGUCGAGUGAGCCCCAAGCACUGAAAGGUGAACCCCUAAGCCACAUUCUGUGGAAGGUGUCCCAGAAGGAGACUCUGAACUCAGCAAGGACAGGCAAGAGAGACAGACUACUUCUUCGUUCAUGUACACUUGAAUUCUAUUGUGUUGAAACCUGGACAAGCUCUCAACAUUGCCAGAGGCAUCUGAAAAUACCUUGGCCCUGAAGAGCAAAUGAGGUGAAAGAGCAGGCAAGUACUCCCAUCGGCCUUUAAAGCGGGGAAAAGUUCGUGCUGGCGAAACAUGAUUUUCGAGAAUUAUCCUGGACUGUGACCCGUCAGACCUGUCGCUCUUCCUGACAUGCUAGCAGGCUUCCUCCUCUGUGGGCUAGGAUAAAAAGUAGAAGAAAGAAGAAUUUUCUGGCUCACUAUUGUGGAAAGCCAGGGCAUCCAUUUCGAAAUGCAAUUAAACAGUUGGCACACUUGAACAUGUAGUAAGUAUUUCUAUCAAAGAGCAUAGAAGAGUUGAUAAAGCAGUGAAAAGAAUCCACUGAGCCCAAGAUAGGAGACUUAAAAGUCAUAGUAAAUUAAUCUUGAAAGAA